This 303-nucleotide ribosomal RNA is filed under the name Triticum aestivum (bread wheat). RNAcentral's name for it is "partial small subunit ribosomal RNA". The record is from RNAcentral. Lineage: Eukaryota; Viridiplantae; Streptophyta; Magnoliopsida; Poales; Poaceae.
AGCAAGCGCACGAAGGCGUACACAGCUACCAAGGACAAGCUUCUUUGCGAGUGUUGGCAAGACAUUGGACAAGACGCAAAGACGGGCGCCGAGCAAAAGCAUUCGACCUUUUGGACUCGUGUGCACCGCGAGUUUCAUGAGCGCAAGAAGUUUACACCUUACCAAUUUGUGAGCACGCGCGGGUGGGUCUCCAUUUCCAAGCGGUUGAGGGUGAUCCAACAAGAGUGCAACAAGUUUUGCGCCAUCCUUGAGAGCGUCAAGGCCCGCCCCGUGAGCGGCAUCGGCGUGCAAGACAUGGUAUGA